UCUCCAGUACUGAAUGCUGGAAUUUUCCAAUGAACAUGAAACGUAUGGUAUGAGAUUUCAACAUAGAAUCCACAAGUGUGGACUGACAUAUCCCGAUAAUUGAUUCUUCAAUUCGUAUGGAAAAUCACAUUACAAAGUCAUUCCCUCCAGAUUCCGGCCGUAUAGCAGACGGCCGCAUCGCAAGCGGCCGUAGGGGAGCGGAGAUCAAGAUCCCUCCUUCACCAACUUGCAAGCUGGUAAAACUGGCAAGGCUGGCCUUCUCGGCGAAGUUGUUGUGGAAACCUUGAAGCACGGAAUCUUGCUGGUGGGUGAGGGGCAUCUCUGUAAAGCCUGGGGUAUUUUAAAUGCUGAUACGUCAAAUCCUUCUAGAAACGAAAAUGCUGACCUGCAGGAAUUUAAAUUCAACUAUUUUUCGUAUAUGCAUACUCUAGAUGGCAAAUCGAUGAUGUCAAUCAAUAAUUAGUAAUUAAAUACUAGUAACAAGUUAUCCGAUACUGAGCAAAUUGACAACGUGUGAAAUAUAUGACCCUUAUCAUCUAACACUAUUUCCGAAGGCUAAGGGCUGUGGGUUAGGAUUAUUUCCUUCAUCUAGGCUUGAGCAUAUCAGAAUAUUAGUGAUAGCUAUUGCAAUAGGCGGAAUGUUACCAGUCAAUUAGAUUUAGAAUAGUGGCUUGCUUUAUUUUACCAUCCGUAUUUCUAUGAGAGGACGAAGAUGAAGAAAACUUGAGACGAAGGGCCAAUACAAGUGCCCAGCUGUUCUCCAGCUGGGUAACUCCUUCGACAACUCUUAUAAGUAAAA
RNAcentral lists this small RNA (799 nucleotides) under Histoplasma capsulatum var. duboisii H88. Its description in RNAcentral is "Histoplasma capsulatum H88 hypothetical RNA". Lineage: Eukaryota; Fungi; Ascomycota; Eurotiomycetes; Onygenales; Ajellomycetaceae. The record is from RNAcentral.